RNAcentral lists this ribosomal RNA (253 nucleotides) under uncultured bacterium. RNAcentral's name for it is "partial 16S ribosomal RNA". It matches the Rfam family "Bacterial small subunit ribosomal RNA", at positions 524 to 776 of the family's 1533-position model. The record is from RNAcentral.
UACGGAGGAUGCAAGCGUUAUCCGGAAUGAUUGGGCGUAAAGCGUCCGCAGGUGGCUGUGUAAGUCUGCUGUCAAAGAGCAAAGCUCAACUUUGUAAAGGCAGUGGAAACUACACGGCUAGAGUGCGUUCGGGGCAGAGGGAAUUCCUGGUGUAGUGGUGAAAUGCGUAGAGAUCAGGAAGAACACCGGUGGCGAAGGCGCUCUGCUAGGCCGCAACUGACACUGAGGGACGAAAGCUAGGGGAGCGAAUGGG